This is a small nucleolar RNA of Juglans microcarpa x Juglans regia, 107 nucleotides long. The record is from RefSeq and is a predicted model, not a curated record. Lineage: Eukaryota; Viridiplantae; Streptophyta; Magnoliopsida; Fagales; Juglandaceae.
AGGUCAUGAUGAGGACACUUUCUCAAUAAAUCCUUGUAUCUCUCUCAUGCCUCAUAUAAUGAUUCAGCCUCACAUUGGAUGAAGGUAGUAAUAUCAUUCCUUAACUC